RNAcentral lists this long non-coding RNA (538 nucleotides) under Ananas comosus (pineapple). RNAcentral's name for it is "long non-coding RNA (ACOM_LNC020006)". The record is from RNAcentral. Lineage: Eukaryota; Viridiplantae; Streptophyta; Magnoliopsida; Poales; Bromeliaceae.
UGUUGUUUUUGAUGUUCUGUCAUCCCAAUUAAUGAUUGGCACCCUUAAACACGAUCUAAGCUACUUGAAAUUAAAAUUAUAGUUAUUAAAUUUUGUAAUUUUAUAAUAAUUUAUUUUGUGAUCGAGUGGUCCUUGAUUCACUUUAUAUUAAUUAUUAAAAUUUGUCAAUUUUAAAAUACUUGAGUACUAGGCAAAUAAUGCUUAUUAAAAAUUUCAAACAGCGUAAAUCAUGCGCCUAACUAUAUCGAUUGUCAAUUCAAAUGUCCUGUCGUUGGAAAUGACGGGAAAGUAAAUAGUUCUAGAAGUACUUGUUGGCUUAAAGGGGGCCAGCAUCCUGCCUUAUGGCAGGAGGUCAGGUUUGGUCGAGUCACAUUAGAAAUGACGAAAAGCUUGGUUAGACCAAGUCAUAUUUAAAGUGACGUGAGCUUGGUUGGGCCAAAUCACAACGGAGGCUGUAGCCUUGUCUUGUUUUCAGUUAAAAAGGUCUCACAUGCAUUUGAAAUAUGAAAAAAAAACAGAAGCUACUGAUAUGCUAACA